RNAcentral lists this ribosomal RNA (208 nucleotides) under uncultured bacterium. RNAcentral describes it as "partial 16S ribosomal RNA". It matches the Rfam family "Bacterial small subunit ribosomal RNA", at positions 568 to 774 of the family's 1533-position model. The record is from RNAcentral.
CUCGUAGGCGGUUCAGUAAGUCGGGUGUGAAAACUCUAGGCUCAACCUGGAGAGGCCACCCGAUACUGCUGUGACUCGAGUACGGUAGGGGAGCGGGGAAUUCCUGGUGUAGCGGUGAAAUGCGCAGAUAUCAGGAGGAACACCAGUGGCGAAGGCGCCGCUCUGGGCCGUAACUGACGCUGAGGAGCGAUAGCGUGGGUAGCAAACA